This is a long non-coding RNA of Limulus polyphemus (Atlantic horseshoe crab), 379 nucleotides long. RefSeq lists it as uncharacterized. NCBI's taxonomy places the organism in Eukaryota, Metazoa, Arthropoda, Merostomata, Xiphosura, Limulidae. The transcript is spliced from 3 exons. The record is from RefSeq and is a predicted model, not a curated record.
GCUUACUUUUCAUCACCCUUCGGUCUGUGCCAGUGUUAAAAGAAUAAUAGAAACAAAAACCAUUAACAAGUUUUCAUACACAAAUAAUAAGUUUUGAAAAAAUUGCAUUUUCUUAAGACUUUCUGAGAAGCACUGUCGUGAUAGGUAGGUUUUGAUAUUUUGUUGGACGAUUCGUUAUGACUGGUUGUGAGCCGCAGCUGCGUGUCGGUUGGUUGUCUUAAGUAGGUCACUGUGUCUUAGUGUGGCAGUUGGAGAGAGUGCCAAAGACGUGUUUCCUCAGUACUGUCUCAAUCAUCACGUGAACAUGAACCUGCUGGAAUUUUCGUUCGGUCUUCUCGUUUGUUUUCUUUUUUUUAUAUCAGCAGUUUGGCAAGAGUCA